This is a long non-coding RNA of Pantherophis guttatus, 2931 nucleotides long. RefSeq lists it as uncharacterized. NCBI's taxonomy places the organism in Eukaryota, Metazoa, Chordata, Lepidosauria, Squamata, Colubridae. The record is from RefSeq and is a predicted model, not a curated record.
CGUGACUUGCAUUGGUUGCCGGUUGCCCUCCGGGGAGAUUCAAGGUGCUGGUGAUUACCUAUAAAGCCCUACAUGGCCUAGGCCCGGGAUAUUUGACGGACCAUCUGCAGCCAGCAAUAGCUUCCCAUCGCCCUGUGCGUUCCCACAGGGAGGGCCUACUCAGGGUGCUGUCGGCCAGACAGUGUCGGCUGUCUACCCCCAGGGGGAGAGCUUUCUCUGUGGGCACACCCACCCUUUGGAAUCAACUCCCUCUGGAGCUCCAGGUGGCCCCCGACCUCCGCUUUUUCCGCUGUGGCCUGAAAACAUGGCUAUUUCACCUGGCCGCCCUGGACUGAUGGGGAUUUUAAUAGAAUUUUAACUGGGUUUUAUUGAAUUUUUGUUAAUUUUAACCUGGAUUUUUUGUUUUAAUGGUUUGUUUGCUUUGUUUUAAUUGUUGUGAGCCGCCCUGAGUCCAUUGGAGAUAGGGCGACAUACAAGUUCCCUAAACAAACAAACAAACAAACAAACAAACUUUAUGUAGUUGCAGUGGGAAUUAUGCUAGAAUGUCUUUUCUUUACACAGUUUAUCCUAGUCAACAAUUACAUGCUGAACAAACUCACAACCUUGUUCCCAGAGAAAUGUUUUCUAAUACUUAUAUCCUGGACUAAUUUUAUACCUUGGGUAGGCAACAUGGUAGAGCUACUUUGGUAUAAUGGCUAAGGCAUCAAGCUAGAAGUUGGGGGAGUGUUAAGUUUCACAUUGUGCCAGUCACUCUCUCUUAGCUCUAGGAAGGAGCAAAUGGCAAACCACUUCUGAAAUCCUGUCAAAAAAACCUGCAGGGACUUGUCCUGACUGACACAAAAGUAUCACAAUAAAAUAAAAAGGUAACAUAGGGCCUAUGGAAAUUUCUCUUGUUUCUUAGCAGGUUCUGUAUCUGAGUUGAAGGAUGUAUGUAUAUUUAGGUAUGUAUGAUAUUCUAACUAAAAAUUAAUCACAUGCUUACCAUAAUUUACAAGGUGGCAUCUUUAUUUUCAAACUUGUUUAUUGGUUCUUUAGAUGUUUUCAAAUAUUAAAAAUAAUGGAUGCAGCAAUGCACCUUCUCCCAAAAGAUGUGGGAAUUAUAUUAACAUUAGAGGCUAAAAUCGUAGUGAUUUAAAUUCAUUGGCAAGGGCCGUCUCUAGCUUUUAUUUUGUUAGUUGCCAAUUUUUUGAUUUACUGUGCCCACUGUUCAUCCAUUUUGUGACUAGGCAAGUCCUUUAUUAUCAGCCAUUUUAUGAAGUUGUCCAGAACAUACCUUAAAAUUCCAGAUGUGCUCACUUAUUGCCUCCUCCUGGUUAACAGUAUUUGUAGCGAUUGAUAAGAAUGCUCAUAUUUUUCUGAUUUUUUUGUAAAAAUAUCUAAGAUAAAUAAUAUCAAACUGGAGAAAGAAUUAUGCUUCCAUCUACUUAGUAGAAAUGCAUUUUGUAGUUACUCUAUGUAGCCUGUGGAAGAGCCUUUAAAAAAGCUAUUAUUCACAGUUACUCUUUCCAUCCUGCCAAGCGGCAAUCUAUAUUCUCAUCUCAGUAUGUAUUUAAGUUUGGAAAUGCUGAAGACUUUUAGAUUGCCCAGACAAUCUUGAAAAAAAGAACCACUAAAUUUAGGAUUGCAUUGUUUCAUUUUUCAUCUUUUCUCCAUCUCAGAAUAGUAAUAAUUAUGUAAAAUAAUGAUAAUUUGUUGAGAUACAUAAUAUCUCAAGAGGAAUUGGACUCACACAGUUCAUUGUCCUCCGCAGCAUGAUAAUCUGGGCAAAACCCCAACUACCUCAUUCCUAGAAGAAUUCGUUUCCACUGAGGUCACAGCUCUUUCUUUUUCCUUUUUGUGGCCAUAGACUCUUUUUGAUGGAAAUUGCAGAAAAUGCAUCCCCCCCCUUCUGCAUUAUUGAAAAAGAACACCUACUGCAACUUUUGCCUUUGGAGACCUAUGAUUGGAUGAAGUCCUCAUACUAGGCCAGUACAGUCUGAUUCCUUCCUUGAUGAUGGGCAUGACUAUAUGAUUUCAGUGUUAUGGGCAGGGACAGGCUGUUUGAGUAGUCGGCCAAUGCUGUAACUGCUAAGGAGGGAUGAAUUGCGUUUUAUAAAAGUGAAGUAGAAUUUUGGAACUCCUUUAAUUUUUAUUAUUAUUAUUAUUAUGCAUGUAAGUGUUUUCUUAACACCUUUCAUCCCAUAAGCUGAAAUUGAAAAUGUUUUGAAUCUUUGGAAGGAUCAACAAUGAAACAUUUUCAUUGUUCUUUCUUUAAAAAAAAAACCACGGUGGAGGGAGAGCCUUUUGCUGAGAUGACCUGCAUGUUGGGAUAAUAUCUUUUCAUAUUUGAGAAGAAGACAAAGGAACUACAGUGCUAAGCACAGAACACUUAUUAAAAACAGUUGGGAAGCAUAUAAAAGGUUCCGUGUGUGUGAAAAACGGGACAGCUGUGAUGGUCUAUUGGGAAAGUAUGUACAGAUGGUAGUAAGGAGGAGAAUGAUGACUGCAUGGCUGAUAAAUGAAAUACCAAAAAAAGGGGGGGAAUGCAUUAUGUUGGUUGAUCGUUGUAAAUUAUACAUUUUUGGGGUGCAGCAUUUAGUUCUUGGAUUUCUAAUGAUUCAGCCAGCAAAUGCGAGUGACUGCAGGGUUUCAGGGAACGUGAGGCAACUGAGGGAGUUUCUAGCUAUUAUUCCAGCAGUUCAACAGGAAGCAAGAAGAUCGGAAUUGGUUAUAUAGUUUUAUUAAUGAAAACAGUUUCUAAUAUAAAAAGUAAUUCCUGCUUCUUCAAGAAUCUAUCCAUCCUCUCCUGAACAGGAGAAUGCCAGCAGGAAAAAGAAGAAAGUCUGGAUAUCCAGGGAAUAUUUUUUUAAUAUUUUAAAAGAAAACUUUCUCUUCUGAAAAAAGAAAAUGUGUGUAUUUCCUAUUUUAGAGAUUAUAAAUCGUUACACAAAA